UGGGGAAUAUUGCGCAAUGGGGGGAACCCUGACGCAGCCAUGCCGCGUGAAUGAAGAAGGCCUUCGGGUUGUAAAGUUCUUUCGGUAUUGAGGAAGGUUGAUGUGUUAAUAGCACAUCAAAUUGACGUUAAAUACAGAAGAAGCACCGGCUAACUCCGUGCCAGCAGCCGCGGUAAUACGGAGGGUGCGAGCGUUAAUCGGAAUAACUGGGCGUAAAGGGCACGCAGGCGGUUAUUUAAGUGAGGUGUGAAAGCCCCGGGCUUAACCUGGGAAUUGCAUUUCAGACUGGGUAACUAGAGUACUUUAGGGAGGGGUAGAAUUCCACGUGUAGCGGUGAGAUGCGUAGAGAUGUGGAGGAAUACCGAAGGCGAAGGCAGCCCCUUGGGAAUGUACUGACGCUCAUGUGCGAAAGCGUGGGGAGCAAACAGGAUUAGAUACCCUGGUAGUCCACGCUGUAAACGCUGUCGAUUUGGGGGUUGGGGUUUAACUCUGGCGCCCGUAGCUAACGUGAUAAAUCGAUCGCCUGGGGAGUACGGCCGCAAGGUUA
Molecule: ribosomal RNA, 547 nt
Filed under: uncultured bacterium
Lineage: Bacteria
Description: bacterial SSU rRNA
Rfam family: Bacterial small subunit ribosomal RNA
Source: RNAcentral